UCACUGAACAAACAAAUUUGCAAGUGCAGA
RNAcentral lists this non-coding RNA (30 nucleotides) under Mus musculus (house mouse). The record is from RNAcentral. Lineage: Eukaryota; Metazoa; Chordata; Mammalia; Rodentia; Muridae.